Molecule: long non-coding RNA, 311 nt
Organism: Juglans microcarpa x Juglans regia
Lineage: Eukaryota; Viridiplantae; Streptophyta; Magnoliopsida; Fagales; Juglandaceae
Exons: 2
Source: RefSeq, a predicted model, not a curated record
ACAGAAACCUAAAUCUUGGAGGCUUGCUUGUCAAACUAUUGCUGAAACAAUUUAUUCUGGCAAGGAUGAAGUCUUCAUUUGAUGCGGAUCCCUUCUUCACUACUCUCUUGCAAAGUGGUGGACAAGGGGAAGGCAGCACCCCCUUCAAUAGCAUACAUGAUAAUGUGGUGGUCCAACCAUCACAAGCUGAAGGUGAACGAAGGCCACCUAUUAAAAAAUCUCAACGAAGUGUGUCUUUCACCACUGAGGAGGAUAAUCUCCUUGUUUCAGCUUGGCUAAACAUUAGCGUUGAUGCUAUUUAAGGGACUGAC